AUUGAACGCUGGCGGCAUGCUUUACACAUGCAAGUCGAACGGUAACAGGCCUUCGGGUGCUGACGAGUGGCGAACGGGUGAGUAAUGCAUCGGAACGUACCCAGAGGUGGGGGAUAACGCAGCGAAAGCUGUGCUAAUACCGCAUGUGAUCUGAGGAUGAAAGCGGGGGACCGAGCAGCAAUGUUUGGCCUCGCGCCUUUGGAGCGGCCGAUGUCGGAUUAGCUAGUUGGUGGGGUAAAGGCCUACCAAGGCGACGAUCCGUAGCUGGUCUGAGAGGACGACGAGCCACACUGGGACUGAGACACGGCCCAGACUCCUACGGGAGGCAGCAGUGGGGAAUUUUGGACAAUGGGCGCAAGCCUGAUCCAGCAAUGCCGCGUGCGGGAAGAAGACCUUCGGGUUGUAAACCGCUUUUGGCAGGAACGAAACGGUGUCCGCUAAUACCGGGCGCUAAUGACGGUACCUGCAGAAUAAGCACCGGCUAACUACGUG
Molecule: ribosomal RNA, 492 nt
Filed under: uncultured bacterium
Lineage: Bacteria
Description: partial 16S ribosomal RNA
Rfam family: Bacterial small subunit ribosomal RNA
Source: RNAcentral